CCGGGGUCUUGGAGAAGUUGGGCAUUUCUGUCAGUCGAGGCUAUGGAUGCGAGGCAUGUGUGUGAGUACAGAGACAAGAGGGGCUGUAAACCUCUGGUGCAGCAUGAGAGGUUGAAUAAAUUGUCUGGUGUUAAGACUGAGUCUGACAAAUGUGAGGUGAAGUCUGACUUGAAGAAUAAGUCUCAUUGGUCGCAAUAUUACGGACGACUAAGGCUGAACAACAAUGUGCGCCGUAGCUCAGCCAAGAAAACCACCCACUCAUUACGUAACGCAACUUGAGACGACUUUGGAAAGGCUGGCUGUGGAAAACCACAAUAUUUCACAGCGAGGCUACAAAUGUCGGCAGAGGCCCUGAAAGCUACCGCCUAGGAAGGGCGACGACGCAAAGUUUGACAAGAUCGAUGAAACUCCCUCAUGCAAACAAAACAUCUGUGAUGAUCGCCUGAACACUGAAAGACGUUUCCCUUCUGUCCAGCCUCAUCAAAGCAGCGCUCAGCAGCCUAAUAGCAUCGUGAGAACGCUUAAAUCAAUACCGGAGACCUUUCUUCUGCUGUACAUUAAAGUU
Molecule: long non-coding RNA, 565 nt
Organism: Gambusia affinis (western mosquitofish)
Lineage: Eukaryota; Metazoa; Chordata; Actinopteri; Cyprinodontiformes; Poeciliidae
Exons: 6
Source: RefSeq, a predicted model, not a curated record